Molecule: long non-coding RNA, 2948 nt
Organism: Solea solea (common sole)
Lineage: Eukaryota; Metazoa; Chordata; Actinopteri; Pleuronectiformes; Soleidae
Exons: 3
Source: RefSeq, a predicted model, not a curated record
ACUCCAAACGUUAGGAGGCAGUAAUGGGCAUAAUUUAGCUUGGGCUGCCGCGCGCCAAGAGGAAGUGUUGUUGUGAGUGAGAAAUGGAGACCAUAAUGAAGAUGGAAAAGGAAAACUCAGUUGAGUCGCUUAAAACAGUACCGUUUAAGAGGAGACCUCGGUCGGAAAAGCUGCGAGUGAAAGCACUCGAACCUGACCAGCCGGACAUUGUUUUAAGACAACAGUCGCAAUACGGGAACAUACUUUACACUCGCUAUUUGUCACGCUGCUGGUAUGCUAAGAAGUCUUGGCUAACCGGAUGUCCUGAAGCUGGUGCUUUAUUUUGCUUCCCCUGCCUCCUGUUUCAAACGCCGAGAACUGAAAAACCAUGGAUUGACUCUGGUGUCACUGAUUUGAAGCAUUUUGCCGAAAAAGCGAAACGGCAUGAAAAAGCUACAUUGAAAACGCAGUACGACUCGGGAUGUUUGGGAGAGCAAGUAUCAGCUCAGCUUGAUGAAGAAUACACCAAGCUGUGUAUUCUCAGAGAUACACAGCGUGUUGUUGAAGAAAGUGAAUAUUCAGAAAACCCAGGCCUUUUUUAGAAGACUUCUGCGUUUUGAGAUUGAAGGGACAUCGAAGUCAUUACUAAAUGAACUGCUCGACUGUAUGCUCUUAGUUUUGAGAGAGCACAUAAUUGAAGAAAGCAGGAAUGCUGACUUUAUCUCCAUCCAGGUUGAUGAAACGAUGGGCACUGCCACUGAGGGUCUAUUGAUGUUUGUGGUCCGCUUUAUUGACAAAACCCAUGAUGUACAGGAGACGUUUUUUGAGUUCAUACUUCUCCAGAGUGCCACAUGUGAUUCAAUCUGGACAAAUUACACACAAUCCUCCCUGAUGACCAGAAAAGCAAGCUCGUUUCACAGACAUAUACGAUGGUGGAGUUGUCAUGAGAGGAGCCACAGGUGGUGUGCAGAAGACGGUGAAGGAUGUGUGUGAGUAUGCACACUAAGUCCACUGUUAUGCUGCUCAUCAAGUUGAUGUCUUAAUCUCAUCUCACUGAAAUCACACAGUUCUUCUUUGACAUAGCUGGAUUCUCUAGCUUUUUUAGGACAAUAAUUUCAACUUCUUCCUGGAACUGAUCCAUCGCAUAAUUCCCCACGUGGACUAAUUUUACAGUCAGCUCCAGAAGCAGUCCAUCGACUCAGCCUAGUCAACAAAGUCAUGCAGCAGUUCACGGAUGACGUCAGAGAUUCCCUUUCUUCUCUCUGUGAAGAAUAUGAUGGCAGCGCACAACAGCUGAAGGCCAAGAAAUGUCGCACACUGGGGCCAGGUGAACUUCAGAGGGUAGCUACAGAGGUUUGUGACAGUAUCUUGGGCCAUACAAAGGAAAGGUUUGCCUUCCCUAAGCAUCUGAUCUGUGCUACACUGCUGCACAGAAACAAAUUCAAGGAGUAGACCAACCAGUUCCCUGAAGCAGCGUUGGACACCACCAUUGUGACGUACCCACUGCUGAACAAGCGCAAGCUGAAAACUGAACUCUGUGAUGUACAACUAUAACGAGUUCAGGGACUGCUCCGAUUUUUUUGGCUCUGUUACAGUUCUUUGCAGCAAACACUCUCCAAGACACCUUUUUAGAGACUGUAACUCUUGUAAAGAUCCUCAUCACAACUCCUAUGACGACGCCUGAGUCGGAGAGAAGCUCCUCAAAGUGAGCAAGAAUCAAGAACUUCCUCAGCAGCACAAAGGCACAGGAUCGUCUUAAUGCACUGGUCAUGCUCUCUAUGGAAAAGAACCUCGUCAAAGAAAUUCCCGAUUUUAACCAUCGAGUCGUUGAGAGAUUUGCAAGUCUGGAGGUGAGAAAGGAGAAAUUUACGUACAAAAUUUAAUCUGUGUUCUGUGGUCAAACAAUGACUCUUUUUGCUUUAUAUAUUUCCUUGAUUUUCCAAAUGGCACACUAGGAAGUGUUAUGUUUCAGUUUUCAGAUUUUGACAAAUCUAUUUCUAUAAACUUACAAACUAAAAUGUAAUACAUUUGCUUCUUAAACGGGAGUAUUUUUCUUCUUUCAUUGUCAUACUGCUUAUUAUCUUAAAGAGUGUGUAGGUUUUGGACUGACAGUUUCACAAGCUGGGCUUGAGCAGAUUCUUAGGUAUGGUCAUUUUAAUGUGGAAGUUAUUCUUUUUUGUUGAAAAGCAUUAUCAGGCAAGUAUCGCUCCAAGCAAAGGAUUUAAGUAAAGCCGUGUUUCCAUCAGGGUACAGUACAGUUCAGUUUGGUACAGUAUGGUACGGACAUCUGUUGAAAAAAACGCUGCACAAGGGGGUUACAUUUUUCUGUUGCCCAAUCAGUCGUGGGUAGAGCACGUCUAGCGGCCUGUACCAUACCAUUUUACUCUGGUACUGAAAUAUGGAAUGGUAUGGGGCUGGUUAUUUUUGAUUUACUAUUCCUAAUGCAAACGCAAAAAAAAGUACAAGUACACUGGUGGUAUGCCUCCUACUGGAGGUAAAUGGUUAAAAACUAACUUUAGCCCACCACUUGAUUUGAUGCAUGUCACAUGGUGGGCUGGUGGAUAGCACUGUUGCAUCACAGCAAGAAGACUCUGGUCCAUGACCCAGUCCAACCAGCGGCCUUCCUGUGUGGAGUUUACAUGUUCUCGCCAUGUGUGCGUGGGUUUCUCCAGUUUCCUCCUGCAGUUCAGAAACAUGUGGAGGUUAAUGAGACACUCUAAAUUGACUGUAGGCGUGAAUGGUUAGGGUUAGGGAAUGGUUGUUUGUGACCUUCAAGUGGAGGAGUCGAGGGUUGAAUGUGAAAAAUUAAGGUUCAGGGUUUCUGACAUGAAGAGAUGUAUAAAAAAGACUGUUGAUUCAGAUACCCAUAACUGGGGGACCUAAAGCACCACAGGGGCUUUUUAUAUGUAAUAUGCAAAUCUCUCUACAUUUAUUUAAUUUUUGUGAAUAAAAAAACAUUGAAGAAUCUC